Portunus trituberculatus (swimming crab) is the source of this 65-nucleotide non-coding RNA. NCBI's taxonomy places the organism in Eukaryota, Metazoa, Arthropoda, Malacostraca, Decapoda, Portunidae. The record is from the annotation of a RefSeq genome assembly.
AUUCGAAUAGUUUAAUAAAAAUGUUGGCUUGUGGAGCCGGAGAUGUAGCUUUAAUACUUUGAAUU